This 32-nucleotide non-coding RNA is filed under the name Rattus norvegicus (Norway rat). Lineage: Eukaryota; Metazoa; Chordata; Mammalia; Rodentia; Muridae. The record is from RNAcentral.
UGGAACAGAACCUCUUUGCCAGGCUGCUUCAG